RNAcentral lists this ribosomal RNA (301 nucleotides) under uncultured bacterium. RNAcentral's name for it is "partial 16S ribosomal RNA". It matches the Rfam family "Bacterial small subunit ribosomal RNA", at positions 509 to 807 of the family's 1533-position model. The record is from RNAcentral.
CAGUCGCCGCGGUAAUACGAAGGGGGCUAGCGUUGUUCGGAUUUACUGGGCGUAAAGCGCACGUAGGCGGAUCGAUCAGUCAGGGGUGAAAUCCCAGAGCUCAACUCUGGAACUGCCUUUGAUACUGGGUAUCUUGAGUAUGGAAGAGGUGAGUGGAAUUCCGAGUGUAGAGGUGAAAUUCGUAGAUAUGCGGAGGAACACCGAUGGCGAAGGCAGCCCCCUGGGCCAAUACUGACGCUCAUGCACGAAAGCGUGGGGAGCAAACAGGAUUAGAUACCCCAGUAGUCCCUGUCUCUUAUAC